This is a long non-coding RNA of Gossypium arboreum, 579 nucleotides long. RefSeq lists it as uncharacterized. The record is from RefSeq and is a predicted model, not a curated record. The transcript is spliced from 4 exons. NCBI's taxonomy places the organism in Eukaryota, Viridiplantae, Streptophyta, Magnoliopsida, Malvales, Malvaceae.
GCAACUGUUACUAUCUUGAACCUGUUUAGGAAAGCUGAUGCUUCUAAAAUAUUGCAGAGAAAUGCCAGAAAGGUUGAGGGAUUUGAGUGAGAAUGAGAACAAUCAGAAGUUGCUUUUUGUGACUCAAGAGGGACAUCCAGGGUAUACUUUGUUUUCAGAAUGAAACCCUGAUAGCAAUUAAAGCUCCACAUGGAACAACUCUCGAAGUACCUGAUCCUGAUGAAGAUGUUGAUUUUCGACAAAGGAGAUACAGGAUAAUCCUUAGAAGCACAAUGGGUCCCAUUGAUGUUUACCUAGUCAGGCGUUACUCUCUUCUUUACAUAUAUUAAACCAUUUAUCCGUACAUGUUCGUUUGGAAAUAAGUCUAAUUGAUGAUGACAGGAUAGGUUUAGUUGCGGAAAUAAAAAGUGUCCGCAUCGUAAUUCUGGUCUAUCAAAUCUGGUUAUAUAUGUAUAUUAACAACAUCCUUUUCUUGAUCUGAGUUGCUUAAUUAGUCAUUAGUUUUUUACAUAUCAAAAUCGAAAAAGCAGCCUUACUAAAUGUAGAUGUGUAGAAUUGGUGCAUCGAGAUGAUAAUCUU